UACAGAGGUCCCAAGCGUUGUUCGGAUUCAUUGGGCGUAAAGGGUGCGUAGGUGGCGCUGUAAGUCAGGUGUGAAAUUUCGGAGCUUAACUCCGAAACUGCAUUUGAUACUGCGGUGCUUGAGGACUGGAGAGGAGACUGGAAUUUACGGUGUAGCAGUGAAAUGCGUAGAGAUCGUAAGGAAGACCAGUGGCGAAGGCGGGUCUCGUGGACAGUUCCUGACACUGAGGCACGAAGGCCAGGGGAGCAAACGGG
This 254-nucleotide ribosomal RNA is filed under the name uncultured bacterium. RNAcentral's name for it is "partial 16S ribosomal RNA". It matches the Rfam family "Bacterial small subunit ribosomal RNA", at positions 524 to 776 of the family's 1533-position model. The record is from RNAcentral.